UUAAGCGACUAAGCGUACACGGUGGAUGCCCUGGCAGUCAGAGGCGAUGAAGGACGUGCUAAUCUGCGAUAAGCGUCGGUGAGGUGAUAUGAACCGUUAUAACCGGCGAUUUCCGAAUGGGGAAACCCAGUGUGUUUCGACACACUAUCAUUAACUGAAUCCAUAGGUUAAUGAGGCGAACCGGGGGAACUGAAACAUCUAAGUACCCCGAGGAAAAGAAAUCAACCGAGAUUCCCCCAGUAGCGGCGAGCGAACGGGGAGGAGCCCAGAGCCUGAAUCAGUGUGUGUGUUAGUGGAAGCGUCUGGAAAGGCGUGCGAUACAGGGUGACAGCCCCGUACACAAAAAUGCACAUAUUGUGAGCUCGAUGAGUAGGGCGGGACACGUGGUAUCCUGUCUGAAUAUGGGGGGACCAUCCUCCAAGGCUAAAUACUCCUGACUGACCGAUAGUGAACCAGUACCGUGAGGGAAAGGCGAAAAGAACCCCGGCGAGGGGAGUGAAAAAGAACCUGAAACCGUGUACGUACAAGCAGUGGGAGCCUCUUAAUGGGGUGACUGCGUACCUUUUGUAUAAUGGGUCAGCGACUUAUAUUCUGUAGCAAGGUUAACCGAAUAGGGGAGCCGAAGGGAAACCGAGUCUUAACUGGGCGUUAAGUUGCAGGGUAUAGACCCGAAACCCGGUGAUCUAGCCAUGGGCAGGUUGAAGGUUGGGUAACACUAACUGGAGGACCGAACCGACUAAUGUUGAAAAAUUAGCGGAUGACUUGUGGCUGGGGGUGAAAGGCCAAUCAAACCGGGAGAUAGCUGGUUCUCCCCGAAAGCUAUUUAGGUAGCGCCUCGUGAAUUCAUCUCCGGGGGUAGAGCACUGUUUCGGCAAGGGGGUCAUCCCGACUUACCAACCCGAUGCAAACUGCGAAUACCGGAGAAUGUUAUCACGGGAGACACACGGCGGGUGCUAACGUCCGUCGUGAAGAGGGAAACAACCCAGACCGCCAGCUAAGGUCCCAAAGUCAUGGUUAAGUGGGAAACGAUGUGGGAAGGCCCAGACAGCCAGGAUGUUGGCUUAGAAGCAGCCAUCAUUUAAAGAAAGCGUAAUAGCUCACUGGUCGAGUCGGCCUGCGCGGAAGAUGUAACGGGGCUAAACCAUGCACCGAAGCUGCGGCAGCGACACUAUGUGUUGUUGGGUAGGGGAGCGUUCUGUAAGCCUGUGAAGGUGGCCUGUGAGGGUUGCUGGAGGUAUCAGAAGUGCGAAUGCUGACAUAAGUAACGAUAAAGCGGGUGAAAAGCCCGCUCGCCGGAAGACCAAGGGUUCCUGUCCAACGUUAAUCGGGGCAGGGUGAGUCGACCCCUAAGGCGAGGCCGAAAGGCGUAGUCGAUGGGAAACAGGUUAAUAUUCCUGUACUUGGUGUUACUGCGAAGGGGGGACGGAGAAGGCUAUGUUGGCCGGGCGACGGUUGUCCCGGUUUAAGCGUGUAGGCUGGUUUUCCAGGCAAAUCCGGAAAACCAAGGCUGAGGCGUGAUGACGAGGCACUACGGUGCUGAAGCGACAAAUGCCCUGCUUCCAGGAAAAGCCUCUAAGCAUCAGGUAACAUCAAAUCGUACCCAAAACCGACACAGGUGGUCAGGUAGAGAAUACCAAGGCGCUUGAGAGAACUCGGGUGAAGGAACUAGGCAAAAUGGUGCCGUAACUUCGGGAGAAGGCACGCUGAUAUGUAGGUGAAGCGACUUGCUCGUGGAGCUGAAAUCAGUCGAAGAUACCAGCUGGCUGCAACUGUUUAUUAAAAACACAGCACUGUGCAAACACGAAAGUGGACGUAUACGGUGUGACGCCUGCCCGGUGCCGGAAGGUUAAUUGAUGGGGUUAGCGGUAACGCGAAGCUCUUGAUCGAAGCCCCGGUAAACGGCGGCCGUAACUAUAACGGUCCUAAGGUAGCGAAAUUCCUUGUCGGGUAAGUUCCGACCUGCACGAAUGGCGUAAUGAUGGCCAGGCUGUCUCCACCCGAGACUCAGUGAAAUUGAACUCGCUGUGAAGAUGCAGUGUACCCGCGGCAAGACGGAAAGACCCCGUGAACCUUUACUAUAGCUUGACACUGAACAUUGAGCCUUGAUGUGUAGGAUAGGUGGGAGGCUUUGAAGUGUGGACGCCAGUCUGCAUGGAGCCGACCUUGAAAUACCACCCUUUAAUGUUUGAUGUUCUAACGUUGGCCCGUAAUCCGGGUUGCGGACAGUGUCUGGUGGGUAGUUUGACUGGGGCGGUCUCCUCCUAAAGAGUAACGGAGGAGCACGAAGGUUGGCUAAUCCUGGUCGGACAUCAGGAGGUUAGUGCAAUGGCAUAAGCCAGCUUGACUGCGAGCGUGACGGCGCGAGCAGGUGCGAAAGCAGGUCAUAGUGAUCCGGUGGUUCUGAAUGGAAGGGCCAUCGCUCAACGGAUAAAAGGUACUCCGGGGAUAACAGGCUGAUACCGCCCAAGAGUUCAUAUCGACGGCGGUGUUUGGCACCUCGAUGUCGGCUCAUCACAUCCUGGGGCUGAAGUAGGUCCCAAGGGUAUGGCUGUUCGCCAUUUAAAGUGGUACGCGAGCUGGGUUUAGAACGUCGUGAGACAGUUCGGUCCCUAUCUGCCGUGGGCGCUGGAGAACUGAGGGGGGCUGCUCCUAGUACGAGAGGACCGGAGUGGACGCAUCACUGGUGUUCGGGUUGUCAUGCCAAUGGCACUGCCCGGUAGCUAAAUGCGGAAGAGAUAAGUGCUGAAAGCAUCUAAGCACGAAACUUGCCCCGAGAUGAGUUCUCCCUGACUCCUUGAGAGUCCUGAAGGAACGUUGAAGACGACGACGUUGAUAGGCCGGGUGUGUAAGCGCAGCGAUGCGUUGAGCUAACCGGUACUAAUGAACCGUGAGGCUUAACCUU
RNAcentral lists this ribosomal RNA (2902 nucleotides) under Escherichia coli. Its description in RNAcentral is "23S ribosomal RNA". It matches the Rfam family "Bacterial large subunit ribosomal RNA". The record is from RNAcentral. RNAcentral also lists the same sequence under 14 other names. Lineage: Bacteria; Pseudomonadati; Pseudomonadota; Gammaproteobacteria; Enterobacterales; Enterobacteriaceae.